This 385-nucleotide unclassified non-coding RNA is filed under the name uncultured Gemmatimonadota bacterium. RNAcentral's name for it is "uncultured Gemmatimonadetes bacterium contains 16S-23S intergenic spacer region". The record is from RNAcentral. Lineage: Bacteria; Pseudomonadati; Gemmatimonadota.
UCCGGCUUGACGCCGGCAGUCCCCCGAGAGUCUUCAGCUUUACCUGUUAGUAACACGGGGCAAGGGUUGCGCUCGUUGCGGGACUUAACCCAACAUCUCACGACACGAGCUGACGACAGCCAUGCAGCACCUGUGCUAGUACCCGGCUCUACGGGUCGCCGACCCUUUCGGGCGACUACUACCAGCAUGUCAAGCCCUGGUAAGGUUCUUCGCGUUGCGUCGAUUUAAACCACAUGCUCCACCGCUUGUGCGGGCCCCCGUCAAUUCCUUUGAGUUUCAGCCUUGCGGCCGUACUCCCCAGGCGGGGCACUUAAUGCGUUAGCGCCGGCACUCAGGGGGUCGCUCCCCCAAGCACCUAGUGCCCAUCGUUUACGGCGUGGACUAC